GGAGGAGGAGGAGGAAGAAGACUUCUCCUAAGUUCCUGACCCCCACCCCAUAGCUACCUGCUCAGUACCUGGGUAGGCAGGCACUGAAGAUCAGCACAAAAGAUGAGCCCCUGACUCUUCCAGGGCCAGGCCGGCUCAGGGACCCCAAAGCCUUUUUUCUUCCAACAGCACAAAUGAGAAGCCACAUUGCAGUAUCAACCUUGAGAAUUUCAAAUACCUUUGAAACAGGCAUCUCACUGGACACAGAAGACACAACUGUGAACAAGUCCAAGAAAGACCCUGUUCUCAGGAAACUGAAAUUCCUGCUAGAAGGUCUGGCAAACCUUCGUUCAGAGAUAUGACAAAAUCAAGGCUGCAGAAACUGAGGUCCCAAAAGGUGAAAUGACUUGCAAUGGGUACAUAGUGAUUACUUCUGGGGCACAAGAUCAAGACUCCACUUUAUUGCUCUCCACUAUCAGUCAAAUAUAUUUCAUAGAAAUGUGAAAUGAAAGGUCUGUAAUUUACACCAUAUUUGGCUGAACACAAGGAUUUCCAAUAAAUUACUCCUAAUUAUUUUAAACCUUUGUGAAAAUUACACCUAACUUUUUAAGCUCGUGCACAGUUACAUAAAUAAAGAGAAAAAUAAG
Molecule: long non-coding RNA, 626 nt
Filed under: Homo sapiens (human)
Lineage: Eukaryota; Metazoa; Chordata; Mammalia; Primates; Hominidae
Description: HSALNT0135998
Source: RNAcentral